GAUUAACGCUGGCGGCGUGCCUAACACAUGCAAGUCGAACGAGGUAGCAAUACCUAGUGGCAGACGGGUGAGUAACGCGUGGUCAACCUACCCUAGAGUGGGGAGUAACUAGCCGAAAGGUUAAGCUAAUACGCAUGAAACGUGCCGGGGCGAUCUCGGAAUGUUGAAAGGAAGCAAUCCGCUCAAGGACGGGACCGCGUCCCAUUAGCUAGUUGGUGGGGUAAC
Molecule: ribosomal RNA, 225 nt
Filed under: uncultured bacterium
Lineage: Bacteria
Description: partial 16S ribosomal RNA
Rfam family: Bacterial small subunit ribosomal RNA
Source: RNAcentral